UNUUAAUAGUGAGCUACUGCUUAUUAAGUC
This 30-nucleotide non-coding RNA is filed under the name Rattus norvegicus (Norway rat). The record is from RNAcentral. Lineage: Eukaryota; Metazoa; Chordata; Mammalia; Rodentia; Muridae.